RNAcentral lists this transfer RNA (72 nucleotides) under Camelus bactrianus (Bactrian camel). It matches the Rfam family "tRNA". From Rfam's summary of the family: Transfer RNA (tRNA) molecules are approximately 80 nucleotides in length. Their secondary structure includes four short double-helical elements and three loops (D, anti-codon, and T loops). Further hydrogen bonds mediate the characteristic L-shaped molecular structure. tRNAs have two regions of fundamental functional importance: the anti-codon, which is responsible for specific mRNA codon recognition, and the 3' end, to which the tRNAs corresponding amino acid is attached (by aminoacyl-tRNA synthetases). tRNAs cope with the degeneracy of the genetic code in two manners: having more than one tRNA (with a specific anti-codon) for a particular amino acid; and 'wobble' base-pairing, i.e. permitting non-standard base-pairing at the 3rd anti-codon position. The record is from Rfam by way of RNAcentral. Lineage: Eukaryota; Metazoa; Chordata; Mammalia; Artiodactyla; Camelidae. RNAcentral also lists the same sequence under 2 other names.
AAAGGUAUAGCUCAGUGGUAGAGCACAUGCUUAGUAUGCACAAGGUCCUGCAUUCAACCCCCAGUACCUCCA